This is a long non-coding RNA of Sitophilus oryzae (rice weevil), 365 nucleotides long. RefSeq lists it as uncharacterized. The transcript has 4 exons. NCBI's taxonomy places the organism in Eukaryota, Metazoa, Arthropoda, Insecta, Coleoptera, Curculionidae. The record is from RefSeq and is a predicted model, not a curated record.
CUAAAUUUUAUUUAUUUUUCUUUGAAAAUCAAGAAAAAUCUAAGAAAUUAAAGAAAAUCUUUGAUUAUAUGCCUAUGCAAGAACAUACUAAUCACAUAUUUAUGUGUCCCAGCUAUAGUUUGAGUAUUGUAGUGCGAAGUACAGAAUCCAAACAUCAUUCGUCGAAGAUUGCAGUAACUUUUUUAAAGAUAGCUUGAUCAGGCCAAUUAUAUAAGAUCACAAACCCACAUCAACAAUGUAAAAAUAGAAGAUACGACUCUACAAGUACUAGUUUCAGCAGAGAUUGCAAGAUAGGGAUGAAGAAUUAAUAAAACAAAUAUCAAUGUAUGUAUUAUAAAGAUUUAUUAAUUUAUUCAAAUAUUUUC